Molecule: transfer RNA, 74 nt
Filed under: Musa acuminata subsp. malaccensis (wild Malaysian banana)
Lineage: Eukaryota; Viridiplantae; Streptophyta; Magnoliopsida; Zingiberales; Musaceae
Rfam family: tRNA
About the family: Transfer RNA (tRNA) molecules are approximately 80 nucleotides in length. Their secondary structure includes four short double-helical elements and three loops (D, anti-codon, and T loops). Further hydrogen bonds mediate the characteristic L-shaped molecular structure. tRNAs have two regions of fundamental functional importance: the anti-codon, which is responsible for specific mRNA codon recognition, and the 3' end, to which the tRNAs corresponding amino acid is attached (by aminoacyl-tRNA synthetases). tRNAs cope with the degeneracy of the genetic code in two manners: having more than one tRNA (with a specific anti-codon) for a particular amino acid; and 'wobble' base-pairing, i.e. permitting non-standard base-pairing at the 3rd anti-codon position.
Source: Rfam by way of RNAcentral
GGCUUAUUCGCUCAGUUAGUUAGAGCAUCGUGCUAAUAAUGCGAAGGUCGCAGGUUUGAGACUUGCAUGGGCCA